GACUGCGUGGUUGUAGGCUGGGUGAGGAUCCAAGAGCUGGUCUACUGGCAGGAUGUGCCUCAACGAUAUGAUUACAAUAGUUGUGAUUCCAAGAGUUUGUAGUAAGAUUACUACGGGAGGUUCUUUUACAGAGGCUGCCCGACGGCCGACGACAACGACGCGGAGAGCAAGCAAGACACGGUCGCCUCGCCGGAGAUGAUUCUUCAUUACGGAGGACAGAUCUGGCGGGGGGAAUCAAAUAACUAUAGUAUUUCUGAAAUUUUCUGAGUCCCCGUUUGUUGCAUCAAAAGGGUCUUCUGUCAAAAGCAGGUAAAAAUCUUCUGAAGAAAGGUGUCUUCACGCCCUGAUUUAAUUUCUUGAAUGGUGGAUGUAUAUUGCGACUACAUCAUGGUGAUAUGCAAAAGCCUCCAUGGAAGGACAACAACUUCUAAAACGUGCUAUUAUGCGCCCUACCCCCUUGGACAAAAUUUCUUUCCAUUUCCAUGGAUUCACAUCCAUCCAUGUACUGCCUCGGUCUUGUUUUUUAUCUGGCAGUGUGAAAUUCAAUCUCACAUUUGUUGACAUGUUAGUUUUCUUAUUCCAGAUAUAGUUUGCACUGUCUAGGUGGUAAGUUACUUCUGAGAUCAUGUCCAGGUAGUAAUGCUCUUCCUUCCCCAUUCUGUUCUGUAAGUAAAUAUUGAUGUGAGUGUUCUUCAUGGGGUGGUAUAUAUGUUGCUUGUUCGUUUGGUUUUGUUUAAGCUCUCUAUAUUGAGUUCAUCCAUAGUGCUAACAGUAUGAGCUUUUAAAAGUUCUUAUGUUGAGAUGGUUAUCUGUAUACGUUGGCUUGAAUCUGUUAACCUUUUGAGGCAACACUUCCAGUUAGGAAGUCAGUAUGUUGGGAUUAAAAGAAUCUAGUAAAACGAAUUAACAUGUGUAUUGAUCUAGUUGUCAGUGCUGAGUUGUUUAUUACAAUUGAGAAAAACGUUUAAUGUGUGCUGGUUUGGUUGCUUACGUUCUUCCAUUUUUUUUAUUAGUAUCAUUUUUUGCUCCAACUAAGUUGUUUUGUAUGAGCGGUACAAAAAAGAUGGUCCUUUGUUGUUCCAUUGCUGAGUGAAAGUAUUGUUUGCAUGUGUGAACUAACUGGACAUUUUUACAUAGCUUUGAGUUUCUUCCUGUCAUAACUUGUAUCGUUUUGAUUCAGUGAAAUUUUGUAUUAUGCACUCAAAAGUUUCAAACACAUUUAAUUUUAAAUGAUUUUACCAUUUGAUAUGAUGCUAAUGUAUUCAUCUUGUAAUAUCGUUGCAUGUACAUUACGCAUAUGAGGUACAUGGAUGACUAGCUGCUUCCAAGGAUAGAUACAAAGGUGUAGCCAUCUUGAAGUUCCUCAAUCCAGAAUUGGCUACUCAAAAGAAUUGGAAACUCGAAGACGGACGAUGCUAUGGUUUCUCAAUUUGCUGUUACAUGUGAACAAUUUAAUUUUAUGUUUUUUAAUGUGUUCCAUUGAAGCGAUAGUGGUUGUAUUGGUCGUAUAGUACCAACACUUGUUGGAUUUGUAGUGGAGUUGAAAGCUAAACUAUUUUAUGUGAUGCAUGUUUGUAAAGUAUCUUCCAUGAUGUGCUGAAAUGAAUGGAACUAUUUAUCAUAA
Long non-coding RNA from Hordeum vulgare subsp. vulgare (domesticated barley), 1624 nucleotides. RefSeq lists it as uncharacterized. The record is from RefSeq and is a predicted model, not a curated record. Lineage: Eukaryota; Viridiplantae; Streptophyta; Magnoliopsida; Poales; Poaceae. The transcript is spliced from 5 exons.